AUUUGGGUCAAUGACGUGACGCUUGCUUUUUCUGUCCGACUGAACUUUUUACCAAUUAAUAAACAUUAAAAUUAAUAAAAUUAUAACAUGUAUGUCUACCACCUCCCUUAUACAUAUGCCCACUCUUAUUUCUCUAAAAAUAAUUGGUUUAUUGGCACUUUCUGCCACCUGAAGUGUGAAAACAUCAUGUGGGGCGACCGUCCGGCCUUGACUUCUGUUUGGACAACUGGUUUUAAAUCAAACUAAAAUAAUUUAAAUAUAAUCCUUACCCUAUUUGGCAUAAUUUUAAACUUGUUUUCCAUUGAUUGACAAAGUUAUGAAACAUUUGUACACACAUUUCAAUCAUAAUAAACAAACAAAUCUUGUCCGAAGAUGUUCAUUAUCUGAAAUAUCAUCUGGGGCGACCAUCAAGAAAAUACAAAUAAGGGACUUAUAUUCUGAUAAUCAUCUCAAAGAGGAUGUUGCAUCAGCCAGCCUCAUGUUGAGGGUCCCACAGAGACAACUAGCAGAUGGCCCCACUAACAAGCAAAGAAAAGACUGCUCGCUACAGGCAGCGGAAAAUGCUGUUCAAUGUGUCUGCAGAAUGCUGCUAUAUUCAACUGUUAAAUGAAAAUAGUAAUGAAAAUGCAAACAUUGUAUGUUUAAGUGAUUAAUGGAAUGAAAAUGAAAAAGGAAAAUGCUGUUCAAUGUUAUGUCCAAGCGUUUAAUGCAUUAGUAUUGAACAUUUUAAUAUGAUGGUUUUGUGUCAAAUGAAAUAGUGAGAAAACUGUUAAUGUUAUGAAAUGUGUCAAAUGAAAUGGAUAUGCUGAUUCUUCAUAAAAUUUCAUUAAAUAUGCUGAUUCUUCAUAAAAUUCCAUUAAAUGUGUUUUAACUAUCAAAAUCAUUGAAUAGUCUUAAUUGCCUGCUGUUUUUCAUCAUGUGGGGCGACCAUUUGUCAUGUGGGGUAACCAACUAUAUUCAAUUCUG
Molecule: long non-coding RNA, 966 nt
Organism: Pimephales promelas (fathead minnow)
Lineage: Eukaryota; Metazoa; Chordata; Actinopteri; Cypriniformes; Leuciscidae
Source: RefSeq, a predicted model, not a curated record